GUCACAUUCGUUUAAAUGCUGAUCCCCGUUCAAACGAAUCUGGCAUCGCAUUCAGACGAACCUGACCAAACCAAAUUCACUUUCUGACGUCACAUUCCUUGAACGACAGUGUACUCAAGGCCGCCGUAUCUUGUUCAAAUAAUGUGCCUGUUGUGGAAAGCGCGCUCGGAGAGCAGCCAUUGUCUGGCUAGGAGACAAUGGUGGUGACCCACCAAGAUUGUGCGUCGGAGAGCGCGGCUGAGAGGGUCGCAAAUACCAGGAGCCCUGUCGGUGCUUGAACCCGGGCAGCCCACAUCCAGGCAGUGCGUACAAAUAAAUGGCGGGCACGCAGUCGGGCGGCGCGCCACAUCCACUCCACCAUGAAGCAGUCCACCGCACUCCUCUGCGUCCUGCUUGUCGCGGGCAUCACCGCCGGCAUGGCGGAGACGACCGCUCGCCCGUGCCUGCUCCCCAUCUACAUUUCGCUCAACCCCAUCCUCUGCCCGCUGCUCUGCAACACGCUGUGCAACACGCUGUGCACCGAAGGCGUCAAAGGUGUGUGCACUGUCGGGACCUGCACGUGCAGCAGCACCGCCACCACCACCACCACCCUCGCGGGGUAGCCCUCUUGCAAUGUUGUUGAAUGUAGCCUGUGGAUAAUAAACUUUUUUGGACCGGA
Thrips palmi is the source of this 658-nucleotide long non-coding RNA. RefSeq lists it as uncharacterized. The transcript has 2 exons. The record is from RefSeq and is a predicted model, not a curated record. NCBI's taxonomy places the organism in Eukaryota, Metazoa, Arthropoda, Insecta, Thysanoptera, Thripidae.